AACGCGAAGAACCUUACCUGGUCUUGACAUUUACAGAACCUGGCAGAGAUGCCGGGGUGCCUUCGGGAACUGCGAGACAGGUGCUGCAUGGCUGUCGUCAGCUCGUGUUGUGAAAUGUUGGGUUAAGUCCCGCAACGAGCGCAACCCUUAUCCUUUGUUGCCAGCGGUCCGGCCGGGAACUCAAAGGAGACUGCCAGUGAUAAACUGGAGGAAGGUGGGGAUGACGUCAAGUCAUCAUGGCCCUUACGACCAGGGCUACACACGUGCUACAAUGGCGCAUACAAAGAGAAGCGACCUCGCGAGAGCAAGCGGACCUCAUAAAGUGCGUCGUAGUCCGGAUUGGAGUCUGCAACUCGACUCCAUGAAGUCGGAAUCGCUAGUAAUCGUGAAUCAGAAUGUCACGGUGAAUACGUUCCCGGGCCUUGUACACACCGCCCGU
Molecule: ribosomal RNA, 439 nt
Filed under: uncultured Enterobacter sp.
Lineage: Bacteria; Pseudomonadati; Pseudomonadota; Gammaproteobacteria; Enterobacterales; Enterobacteriaceae
Description: bacterial SSU rRNA
Rfam family: Bacterial small subunit ribosomal RNA
Source: RNAcentral